Long non-coding RNA from Homo sapiens (human), 2012 nucleotides. NCBI's taxonomy places the organism in Eukaryota, Metazoa, Chordata, Mammalia, Primates, Hominidae. The record is from Ensembl.
AAAGAAGCCAGGAGACAACAUCAGAGGCAGGAGCUGUGCUGUAUUCAUCCUGAAAAGUUCUGGAGGAGGAAGCCACCUACUGGUCUCUGAGUGGGUGGUGGGGGGCAGAUGGAAGUGGAGGGGCAAGGCUAAAACCUUAAGGAACUGCCUGUCAGUGAGCACUCCUGGGAGAAUCAGAACACUGGGAGGAAAGAGGUCAAGGAGACAGCCUUCCUGCCACAUAGAUAGAACAUUCUGGUGGAUGGAAAUUUCCACGAGUGCUUCAGCCUUUCUGCCUGGCUUACACAGAAAUGGAUCUUAGAGCUACUGGCCAGAAGAUCACCUUUACCGAAAGCAUCUUGCAGUCAUCCUCCUUUCCAAGCCGCCUUCCAGUAAGACUCACAAUGGAAGGUCCCCAACCUGGAGCAAGGAUACAAGCCAAGGGCUUUGAUCAACUCGGCCUUCCUGGGCCUCGGGGAGAGAGACGGACUGCCUCCGGGUGCUCAUGACCUUUCCAGCAGUAAGCCAAUAAUGUAUGACUCCUGCGUUGCCGUUGCUCGUUUGAGCUUUGAAUGAUGCAUUGGCCCACGUGGACCACCUUCCAUUUCCCAAGACUUUUUGAAGGCAAUGAAUGAGAAGAAAGCAGAGAAAACAGUGGGCGUGAGGUCAGAUGACUCAGGCUUGAGUACUGAUCACAUCAAGGAUUGGACGCACUGCUCUUAGGAAGGCACAACUUCUACUACUUUCAGUCUUAUCAACUGUGAGAGGAAGAAGAAGCAAAGCACACCAUUGAUGUGUGUGGGUUUGAUGUAGCAUCUUCUAAGAGGUCUACAAAGAGACAUUGCAAAGCCAGGCCUCUAAAUGAUUCCUCUGUGAAACAUUGGGCCAAACAUUCCGUAACCCCUUCCUGCUCUGGUGAUCAUGUAAGUAGAUAUUCUGGAAGCACUUGCUCUACAGAUGGAGAAUUGUCACCAUCUGCCAGGACAGCUCCUGCUCAUCUUUCAUGACUCAGCUCACAUGUCAUAACUUCAAGGGGCCUUCAGCUCUCUGGCCCUUCCUGCCCCAUGAAGGCUCUACCCAGUGCCCCCAACUUUGCUCCUUCGGCUGCAUUUGAAGCAUUUACCUGUGCUUGUUAAUUGUUGGUGGAAUUGUCUGUAGACUGUGACCUUGAGUGUGCAGAGUCUUGUAGAGUCAUCUCUGGAUUCCCCACUCUGAGAACCACGCUUGGCCAUUGCAGGCUCUCAACAAAGGCUUGCUGAGGGGAUGAAUGAAUGAAUGUAUGGAUGGCAUGAAUGUAUGGGCUCUGGUGAAUUUUUUGCCCACAUUUUGCUGGCCAGCGGCUGCAUUGGGUCUGCACACUGAACCCUUUGGCUCAAGGUAUCAGAGCUGCUCUCCUUCCAGUGAAGACUUGGAUGGAAGACUUGAGAUGCAGGUUAUGGGGAUACGUGUCACCUCUAUUCCUCAUUCAGAAGGAUACAUACCUCACUGGACCAUAAAAAAUGAGAACUGAAUUAUCUGAGUGUUUGAAUAAACUUCCACCUUGUUACUCCACUACAGUCUGAGAAAACUUCACUGCACAAAUAGAGGCAGUGUACACCCCUCACAGACACUUUCCUUUCUCCUGUUGAGAGGUGAAGCCAGCUGGACUUCUGGGUCGGGUGAGGACUUGAAGAACUUUUUUGUCUUACAAGAGGUUUGUAAAAUGCACCAAUCAGUGCUCUGUAAAAACGCACCAAUCAGCGCCCUGUGGCUAGCUAGCGGUUUGUAAAAUGCACCAAUCAGUGCCCUGUAAAAACGCAGCAAUCAGCACUCUGUGGCUAGCUAGAGGUUUGUAAAAUGGACCAAUCAGCACUCUGUAAAACAGACCAAUCAGCACUCUGUAAAAUGGACCAAUCAGCAGGACAUGGGUGGGGACAAAUAAGGGAAUAAAAGCUGGCCACCCCAGCCAGCAGCAGCAACAACACGGUCGCGUCCCUUUCCACGGUUUGGAAGCUUUGUUCUUUUGCUCUUUCCAAUAAAUCUUGCUACCCUUC